Molecule: long non-coding RNA, 4044 nt
Organism: Brachypodium distachyon (stiff brome)
Lineage: Eukaryota; Viridiplantae; Streptophyta; Magnoliopsida; Poales; Poaceae
Exons: 8
Source: RefSeq, a predicted model, not a curated record
GCCCUACAGAGAGGGCAUCUUCAUUUCAUUAGCACAACAAACUAGCAGCGGAGCUCAAACAAGAAUGCCAAACAACGAUUAAGGUUUCAUCUGUUUGACUGUUUCUAAUAGUCCUUACAAGAACGAGAGCUGCACUAGGUUCCCUAAGUCUUGGAUGCCCCCUGUGAAGCUGCAGCCAAUCAGGAUUCUGAGAAGCAUAGUACAGUAGGUAGGUCAGUGACUGCUGUUGUAAAAUAUGCAAGUCAAGGAUGUGCACUAAGGAUAAUGUAGGCAUACAGUGUCGUAAGCUGGCUCAGUUCCCCGAUUGCAGCUGGCAGUGGACCGCCAAGACCAGUAUUGAAGGAGAGGUCCCUGCAAGCACCAAGCACCCUAACAUAUAUGAGCAAAGCAGUAUAUUAUACUUUAUCGAGCAUAUGUUCGUGGCGACUGAAAUAACAAUACCAGUGAUUUGGAAAGCUCUGAUAAUGACAAAGUUAUUGGUUUGUUCUUCCAUUCUUUGUGCAAGGGCGGUCAGCACCGGACUCUUCUACACAUUCCAUAGCCAACUGCACGAAUCUCCUGAAGCCAAAUAAUUUUGCCGAAUCCUUGAUUGCCGGAUCAAUUAGGCUUGUCAAGCCAUAGUACUCUUGAUCGUACUGGUCAACUGCGGUUCUGAUCUCACGCACAAUGUGGAUUCGCAAGCUCAUGGAGGUAUGCUAGACCUUUAGCAGACCCAAUGGCGAUCCGAAGUCGCUUCAUCCAAUCCAAGUGUAUCCCUCCUUUACCUGCAGUAAAGCUAUGUUCUGUCAGGUUAGGCAGGUUGCCGAUACUAUCAGGUACCGGACCAUUGAAUUGGUUAUGAUCUAGUCGGCUGAAACAAGUUGAGUGUGAGCAAAAAAAAAGAGUCAAGGAAUUGCACAGAAGGGGAGUGAGACAAAGAAAAACCGUUAUCAAGUAUGUACAUAAUUUGAAGUGUUUUGACAAGUCCAAGAGAUUCUGGGAUUGAUCCAGUAAAUUUGUUGUUGUCAAAUAUCCUGAAAAUGAUUACCAGAACUAGUCACAUGGUAUGAAAGAACAGAUGACGUUAGCAAGUGCAAGUCAAUACAGUGCUUACGCAUGUACAAGAGUCAUAUUGGCACUGAAAAGACGGUCCAUUGGACCUGUCAACUGGUUCUCGCUAAAAUGGCUGUUGAUUCAGAUGGAUGGAAAAGCAGAUAUGGAAAUUAGUACAUUUAAGCAGCAGGGCAUUCGUUAUUCCUUUUAAUGUAGAGCUGGUACAACAUCUGAGUACUUACAAAUGCUUGGUGUUGACAAGUCUAUCCAACCCUGGGGCUGAACUUGUUGAAACUGGGAUUUGUCCUGAAAGUUGAUUGGCCGACAAGUCCAACCAAAAGAGAUCUGUGAGAAGGCCAAGUGCUGAGGGUAUUCUACCAGUGAACUGAUUUGAGUUUAGGGCCCUGUAUAAAAGUAAUAUGUCAAUUGAAUUGUGUCACCUCAUAAACAGAAUAAUGUUCAUUCAGGAUUUCCGUCCAAAUUUCAGGGAAUUCUUACAGAAAUGUGAGCUGUCUUAAGUUCCCUAUCUCCUCUGGGAUGUUACCAGUGAAGCUGCAUCCGAGCAAAAUCCUAAAAGAAAAGAUAUGUCAGCUUUUCCUCUCUUUUUUUGGGUCAUCUCCACAAACCCCAAAGAGGAUUUAUGUUGUUGUGUGGUCACUGGUCUUACAGAGUGGUGAGCUGCUUCAGAUUUCCGAUGUUUGGAGUAAGUGGACCGCCAAUACUUGGAUUGUUAGACAGAUCCCUGCAUGUAGUUCAUAUCAGUAGUCUAAAGCAUAUCAUGUUCUAGAUCUCUAGAUGAUUUUGUAUGCUGAUCCUCGUUCCUGGAGUCGCAUCUGUUACAGCGUGGUUUUGUUGAGAAAACACUGCAGUUCUUUUAAAACUGACUAGCUGAGGAAGCAUGGGCUUACAGAUAUGUCAAAGCAGAGAGUUUGUCUAUGCCGUUGCUUAAUGUGCCUUCCAUGUUCAUGCUUGACAAUCUCCUGCAGAUAGCAAGUUUCAGCGGUUUGAUUGUUAAAAAAAGAAGUAAAAGAUGACUGCUGAUAAAGUUGAGCACUCACAUUUCUGUCACUCUCCCAUUAGAACAGGAGAUUCCAUCCCAGGAGGUGCAGGGAUCGGUCGACCCUGUCCAGCUUUGUGGUUCAUUCCGCCAAUUUGUCAUCAAUGCUUUCAGUGCAGCAACUGUAUAAAUUAUUAAGGUAACAUUAGACGGGCGCUUUUAUGAGAACAACUCCAAUAGUCGAUCUCACUCCUGGCAUGGAUAUCAACCACUAAUCUUAUUUGUAUGGGAGAUAGAUACAAGUAUCAUUGUAGAGAAUUUAAGAGAAGUCUUGGUCCAAGAAAGGAGUGCUUCUUUCAACUCUCAAUUGUACUGUCAGGAAAGAAACACUGUUUCAGUUUCUAUCAUGGGAACCUAUUCCUCCGUACAUUAGCAGGAGCUCCCAAAUUUGAUAAAUUUGACCAACCAUGGAUUUGAUCUACUACAGUUUUAGUUUUGCACCAUCUAGCAUAACAAAUUGAUUGUAAUAAUGACAAAAGGUUUAAGAGUUAACUCUUAAGGCUACCUAAUAAAAAAACAGAAGCAAGUGGUAAAUUAUGUUCAUCCUAUGCUCAUCUUGUUCUCGGGAAAACGGCUGCUCAGAUGGCAACUUACGGACGGCAACUUUCUUCCUAUAAGACUAUAGCCCGAUAAAAAGCAUGAACGAUUGUGGCUUACCAUCUUCGGAGUCCGUCUGGCUGAAGCUUGACUGGAAGCCCGCCAAGAGCAAGAACAGAAGUAACACCCACUGCAUCGCUACUCCACCACGUCGUCCUGGACUUUGCAGCAAAUCAAGGCCACUUCAAUCCAGAAACAACUUCGAUAGAUCUUCUUGUGGGUGAAGUCUACCCAAUGAGCAAGUUCAUGGAGGAGCUAGCAGCUACCAAAUGGCGUCCUCUCCGGUCCUUCCUGAGGUGAGGCCUGCUAUUAAUUUAUACGAACUAUCAAUAUGAAUUUUCAGGCAAGGGACCUGCCAGGAACCAGCCCUGUUGAUGUGGAUGUGGCAUCAGGAGUUGGAUUCAUGGCUGGCCAUGAGUCCCCUUGAAGGCGUCUCCGAAUCUGCAUACGGUUGGUCAUGAUAAAAAAAGAUUCGGGGAAUGGAUCAUCCUUUAUAUUAUCUGGGUUACUCGAGAUAAUAAAAGCUGUGAGUUACUUUUCUUGAUUGGACCAUCAGAAGCACCACAAUGGUCUGUUCGAGCUGCAAGAAAGGACGGCAAUCUUUUGGACCUGCCCGGCCAGCAUCCUUCCUUUGUCGUCAUUGCUGAAGGCCUAGCUUACAGAUUGAAAUGCAGGUACGUCCUGAUGCAUGAUGUAGCGAAUGCAGUCGAGGCAGGCAACGCCAAAGGACAUCUUAAUGAAAUGCGAAGAAGUUUGCACACAGAAAGAUCCUUCUGCGAUUGGCCAAACUGAACUGCAGGCCAAUGAUUUAUUUCUGGAGGAGCCGAUGCAGUGCAGAACUAGUGACUGCCAAUUGGCGCACGCGAAGGGGAUGCAAGAGCUAGACGCCGGAAGCCCUGUCGCCCUGACCCACUGGGCAGGUAAGUACCGUACGUGUGCAUGCAUCAUGCAUGGACUACAACCACAACGUUUGAAGCUGUCAAACAUGACGCCAAAACGGCCGGGGCCGGUCUUGGAAAGCGACCCACGCUGAGUCCCUGCCCUGACAUUUUCUGUUCCGCCAGCUCCAGCCUCCAGCGUGACGCUCACCUGCUGUCGCUCCAGUCCAUAGCCAUCGACGACGGGUCAAGCGCGAACGCCUGUCCCCUGCUUGAGUUGAGGACUUGAGGCGCAUAUGCAUCGACUGUAUCGACAUGGAUCACAAGCAUCCGCCGUCAGAAUCGCCGCCCUUGCUAGGUGCUCCCCCCGUGUAACUGUAAGCUAAAAUGUGUCCAAACAAGGUGCAGCCAGCCGUAUGCUGCUCCCUGUUAUUUCGUUUGAGAUUAUUAUUUUUUCUCCGAUGGGGGAUCUCUUGCGUC